This 384-nucleotide long non-coding RNA is filed under the name Chelonoidis abingdonii (Abingdon island giant tortoise). Its description in RNAcentral is "lncRNA (ENSCABG00000018273.1)". Lineage: Eukaryota; Metazoa; Chordata; Testudines; Testudinidae. The record is from RNAcentral.
AAUCAGCCACCACCCCAGCCUCAGAUGCAGCCCCAGUGGCAAGCAAAGGCAGAGCCAGCUGUCUCCACCCCAAAGGCAGCAGAGCAGAGAGGCUGUGGGAGAAAGUCCUUGGGCAUCCUCUACGCCCUGGUUGGGGUGUCUCUGCUGGUGUCGACAGCCGCCUUCUUGCUAAUGCUCCUGAAAUGGAUCCCAUGCUGCCCACAUGGCUGGGAGGAGUUCCAGAAGAAAUGCUACUUUUUCUCCCUUGAAAAGGAGCCCUGGGAAAUGGCCAGGAACUCAUGCAGCAACCACAGUGCAGAGCUAGCUGUCAUCAGCAACCCGUGGGAGCAGGUACGUCCUGAUCCUCCUGCCUCUGGGAGAGGCAGAACUGGGGGCAGUGCUGGG